AAUAAUACCCGAUAGAUCAUAAUUCCUGGAAUGGUUUAUGGUUCAAAUGAUUUAUCGCCGUAGGAUGGGACUGCGGCCUAUCAGCUUGUUGGUGAGGUAAUGGCCCACCAAGGCUAUAACAGGUACGGGCUCUGAGAGGAGAAGCCCGGAGAUGGGUACUGAGACACGGACCCAGGCCCUAUGGGGCGCAGCAGGCGAGAAACCUUAGCAAUGUGCGAAAGCACGACUAGGUUAAUCCGAGUGAUUUCUGCUGAAGAAAUCUUUUGUCAGUUCUAAAACUACCGAUGAAUAAGGGGUGGGCAAGUCUGGUGUCAGCCGCCGCGGUAAUACCAGCACCUCGAGUGGUAAGGAGGUUUAUUGGGCCUAAAGCAUCCGUAGCCGGCUAUGCAAGUCUCCGGUUAAAUCCAGCUGCCUAACAGAUGGGCUGCCGGAGAUACUACAUAGCUAGGGAGCGGGAGAGGUAGACGGUAUUCGGUGGGUAGGGGUAAAAUCCUCUGAUCCAUUGAGGACCACCAGUGGCGAAGGCGGUCUACCAGAACGCGUUCGACGGUGAGGGAUGAAAGCUGGGGGAGCAAACCGGAUUAGAUACCCGGGUAGUCCCAGCUGUAAACGAUGCAAA
This 619-nucleotide ribosomal RNA is filed under the name uncultured archaeon. RNAcentral describes it as "bacterial SSU rRNA". It matches the Rfam family "Archaeal small subunit ribosomal RNA", at positions 145 to 766 of the family's 1478-position model. The record is from RNAcentral.